RNAcentral lists this long non-coding RNA (282 nucleotides) under Betta splendens (Siamese fighting fish). Its description in RNAcentral is "lncRNA (ENSBSLG00000014528.1)". Lineage: Eukaryota; Metazoa; Chordata; Actinopteri; Anabantiformes; Osphronemidae. The record is from RNAcentral.
GAUGAGGAGCAGGCCAGGACCAUUCCUGCCCAGAACGGAAGGGGGCCCUGGGAGUCGGAGGACCCCACCCAGGAAAUGCUGGAGGGUAGACUAGUCACCACACGGGUGCUGAUGCCAGGCAGUACGAGAGCUGUGGAGGUGGAUGAGGUGGAGGACCUGUCCCAGCUGGAAGAGGUGUGUGAGAGCUCAGUGCUCCUGAACCUGAGGAAGAGGUUCCACCGGGACUGUAUUUAUGUACGUUCCGUGACGUUAUACACUAUUCACACGCUAGUUCUUCCGUGA